This 253-nucleotide ribosomal RNA is filed under the name uncultured bacterium. RNAcentral describes it as "partial 16S ribosomal RNA". It matches the Rfam family "Bacterial small subunit ribosomal RNA", at positions 524 to 776 of the family's 1533-position model. The record is from RNAcentral.
UACGUAGGUGGCAAGCGUUGUCCGGAUUUACUGGGCGUAAAGGAUGCGUAGGCGGAUUUUUAAGUCAGAUGUGAAAACCCCGGGCUCAACUUGGGGACUGCAUUUGAAACUGGAAGUCUAGAGUGCGGGAGAGGAAAGUGGAAUUCCUAGUGUAGCGGUGAAAUGCGUAGAGAUUAGGAAGAACACCAGUGGCGAAGGCGACUUUCUGGACCGUAACUGACGCUGAGGCAUGAAAGCGUGGGUAGCAAACAGG